This is a long non-coding RNA of Pseudopipra pipra, 1134 nucleotides long. RefSeq lists it as uncharacterized. The record is from RefSeq and is a predicted model, not a curated record. The transcript has 2 exons. NCBI's taxonomy places the organism in Eukaryota, Metazoa, Chordata, Aves, Passeriformes, Pipridae.
CAAGUGCCAGUACCACCUCCCGAAAAUUGAAGACAAAUGAAGAUUCCUCCCAGACAAAAGGUGCCACACAAGAAAGCUCUUGCUGCCCACAGAGUGCCCAGGCUUCUCCACCAACUGCACCUGAAAGCCAAAACUCACAGGAUUUCUUUCCUGGGGAUAAGGGCUGUUUUUCCCUUUUUUUAACCCUGCGCUUCAAGUGCCUGUCUCAGCUCCCCAAAAUGGAAGAGAAAGGAAGAUUCCUCCAGACAGAAGGUGCCACACAAGAAAGCUCUUGCUGCCCACAGAGUGCUCCGGCUGCCCCACCAACUGCAUUGGAAAUACAAAUGUAGGAGACUUUCUUUCCUGAGGAUAAGGGCUGCUCCUAGGUUUUUUCAGCCCUGUGAUGCUACUGCCAUUCUGACUCCCCAGAUUCCAGAUGGACCAAGAUUCCUCCCAGAUAAAAGGUGCCACACAAGAAAGCUCUUGCUGCCCACAGAGUGCCCAGGCUGACCUACCAACUUCCUCAGAAACGCAAAUGUCGGAGGCUUUUUUACCUGGAGAUAAGGGCUGUUUUUUCCUUUUUUCAGCCCUUUGCUUCUACUGCCAUUCCGACUGCCAAAAUUCCAGAUGCACCAAGAUUCCUCCCAGACAAAAGGUGCCACAGAAGAAAGCUCUUGCUGCCCACAGAGUGCCCAGGCUGGUCUUUCAAGUGCAUCAGAAAGGCAAAUCUAGGAGGCUUUCUUUCCUGGGGAUAAGGGCUGUUUCUCCCUUUUUUCAACCCUGUGAUGCUACUGCCAUUCCGACUGCCAAAAUUCCAGAUGCACCAAGAUUCCUCCCAGACAAAAGGUGCCACAGAAGAAAGCUCUUGCUGCCCACAGAGUGCCCAGGCUUCUCCACCAACUGCACCUGAAAGCCAAAACUCACAGGAUUUCUUUCCUGGGGAUAAGGGGCUGUUUUUCCCUUUUAAUAACCCUGCGCUUCAAGUGCCGGUCCCACCUCCCCAAAAUGGAAGUGAAAUGAAGAUUGCUCCCAGACAAAGGUGCCACACAAAAAAGCUCUUGCUGCCCACAGAGUGCCUAGGCUGACCUACCAACUGCACCUGAAAACCAAAGCUCACAGGCUUUCUCUCCUGGGGGAUGCGGCUGCUGUUCCCUU